UACGGAGGGGGUUAGCGUUGUUCGGAAUUACUGGGCGUAAAGCGCGCGUAGGCGGACCAGAAAGUUGGGGGUGAAAUCCCGGGGCUCAACCCCGGAACGGCCUCCAAAACUCCUGGUCUUGAGUUCGAGAGAGGUGAGUGGAAUUCCGAGUGUAGAGGUGAAAUUCGUAGAUAUUCGGAGGAACACCAGUGGCGAAGGCGGCUCACUGGCUCGAUACUGACGCUGAGGUGCGAAAGUGUGGGGAGCAAACAGU
Molecule: ribosomal RNA, 253 nt
Filed under: uncultured bacterium
Lineage: Bacteria
Description: partial 16S ribosomal RNA
Rfam family: Bacterial small subunit ribosomal RNA
Source: RNAcentral